Molecule: ribosomal RNA, 253 nt
Filed under: uncultured bacterium
Lineage: Bacteria
Description: partial 16S ribosomal RNA
Rfam family: Bacterial small subunit ribosomal RNA
Source: RNAcentral
UACAGAGAGUGCAAACGUUGUUCGGAAUCACUGGGCUUAAAGCGCACGUAGGCGGCAUCGUAAGUGUCGGGUGAAAUCCCACGGCUCACCCGUGGAACUGCCCGGCAGACUGCGAUGCUAGAGUGUGGUAGGGGCAAGCGGAACUCCUGGUGGAGCGGUGAAAUGCGUAGAUAUCAGGAGGAACACCGGUGGCGAAGGCGGCUUUCUGGUCCACAACUGACGCUGAGGUGCGAAAGCUAGGGGAGCAAACGGG